This 253-nucleotide ribosomal RNA is filed under the name uncultured bacterium. RNAcentral describes it as "partial 16S ribosomal RNA". It matches the Rfam family "Bacterial small subunit ribosomal RNA", at positions 524 to 776 of the family's 1533-position model. The record is from RNAcentral.
UACGUAGGGUGCAAGCGUUGUCCGGAAUUAUUGGGCGUAAAGAGCUCGUAGGCGGUUCGUCGCGUCGGCUGUGAAAUCCCGAGGCUCAACCUCGGGUCUGCAGUCGAUACGGGCGGACUGGAGUUCGGCAGGGGAGACUGGAAUUCCUGGUGUAGCGGUGAAAUGCGCAGAUAUCAGGGGGAACACCGGUGGCGAAGGCGGGUCUCUGGGCCGAUACUGACGCUGAGGAGCGAAAGCGUGGGGAGCGAACAGG